GGCUCCAAGAUUAUGAUUUGAAGAUGACGAGCUAAUGUUAUCUGAAUCUGAAGUCUGAGCUUGGCUAUGGGCUUGAUUGCGUUGGGCUGGGCUAGCAUAUGCUGGGUAGCUCUGUUGCUAUAAAACCCAAUCCCACAAAAUCUUCCUGACAGUGUACCUCUCUGAAGUCUGGAUAUUAUCUUCACUUCGGCAGUCUUCACCUACCAUUUCUGCAGGGCAAUGGUAACCAGUGAACAGUGAACACACCUACGUAUAGACAGCUCUGUGCUUCAUCUCUUCC
RNAcentral lists this unclassified non-coding RNA (280 nucleotides) under Hevea brasiliensis (rubber tree). The record is from RNAcentral. Lineage: Eukaryota; Viridiplantae; Streptophyta; Magnoliopsida; Malpighiales; Euphorbiaceae.